RNAcentral lists this long non-coding RNA (2231 nucleotides) under Mus musculus (house mouse). RNAcentral's name for it is "long non-coding RNA chr15:61654981-61657212". Lineage: Eukaryota; Metazoa; Chordata; Mammalia; Rodentia; Muridae. The record is from RNAcentral.
AGAAUCCAGCACAAAGUAAACUCUAAGUGGGUAUGAAUCAGUGAAUGAAGAAUGAAUGAAUGAUCAGUCAAAGAGUGAGUCAUUCUGUCAACACAGCUGUCCAGAUGUCAUGUGGAGGAGACUCCCCAGGAUGAAAUCAUGUGAUUCAGAAGUUUUUCCAAGGAAAGUGUGGUUUUUGCUUGACUAGUGAAGGGCAGGGAAGAUAGAACCUGAACUUAGCAUGCCAUCUGCUCUGAGACAGGGACAGAAAGUCAGAGAGAGAAAAAUGGAAAGCUACUAUUCAACAAUGACUGCCAUUGUAACACUUGGGGUGUCAAUCACCCUUCCAGACUACCUAACUGAAUGUUGUAGUACUCCUGACAAGAAUAAAAACCGUGUAUCCUCUAAAUGCUUUAACAACAACACUAACAACAACAAAUACUUUCAAGAAACCCCAAUCUCCACUUUAAUAACUUUCCCAUGCCUGAUUACUCUGUUUGAACUUAUAAGUGUCUUCAUGUUGGAGGUAGCGCCACUGGACAUCAAUAUCAAAAGCUGAUGAGUGAUUUCCACCUGUGAGGCUCUUCCAGAAAGCAAGGAGACAUGUAGGUUCUCACUUCAGGCCAGAGCAGCUGUUUCUAACCCAGACCUGUUAUUAGCAACAACUGAAGACCUGCUUUAUUGCCAGUGCAGGUUAGAUCUUAUGGAUCAUCAUAGAUGAGUUACAAACCCACAACACUGGUGCCAAAAGGAUACAUCAGAUGCAAGCCACUGGAGCCUUUUGCCUGAAGAAGUCAGAAUGGUGAAAGGUCUUGCCCAGGACCACACAGCUGUUUGGUCCCAAUCACCAGGCCAAGCCAAACCUGCCCUAGGGCUUCUGACCACCCACCAGAAGGAUCAAAGCUGGGCUCCAGUUGGUAUUGAGCAAUGUGGAGAUGAAUUAAUUUAAUGGGAGUAAAGUUUGCCAUAAAAAAAAACCAAGUAGAAAUGCUUAUUAGGCUCAUACUUUAUUUUCAGAAAUCCAUUCAAUAGGGCUUCAUAUUAUAUCAUCUACAUUUGGGGACUACAAAGCAUAGUCCAGAUUAAAGCAUACUUCUCUAGACAUGGCACAAAAAUAGGGUCAAGAAACAAGAAAAAGUCCAUGAAGUUAGAAGUCAGAUUCAUGGUUUGACAAAGCAAAGCCCCUUUACCAUCAAUCACCUUCUAUCAAAUCCUAAACCAGGUUCUUCAUUUACACUGAAUGUAAAUAUCUUUUUUUUUAAGUUUUUUAAUUAGGUAUUUUCCUCGUUUACAUUUUCAAUGCUAUCCCAAAGGUCCCCCAUACCCACCCACCCCCACUCCCCUACCCACCCACUCCCCCUUUUUGGCCCUGGCGUUCCCCUGUACUGGGGCAUAUAAAGUUUGCAAGUCCAAUGGGCCUCUCUUUGCAGUGAUGGCCGACUAGGCCAUCUUUUGAUGAAUGUAAAUGUCUUAACAGCAAAUUGCCAUUUGUGAGUCCAAGUGUGCAGUCAUUAUGGUGGAGUUUCGAUGACUGGCUCAUCACAAAGAGGAGACACCACAUCUGACAAGAAGAGAAGCUUCCCCAUCAAAGCAGCAUCUGCCCCCCAAAAUGUCAGCAGUGCAGAGGUUGAGGAAAGACAGUCUGAGGUUGGGCAAGCUCUUAGCAUGAAUCGUCAGAUGAGCACCUUGAGAGGAAUCUGACAUUUACAGAGCUUAGUACUAAAUUUUUCCCCAGAAAGGCAGAUAAAGACCCAAGUAUGCUAAUGGCUAAGCUCUUUCCCCCAAUCUACAAGCAUCAUGAGCAUCCUGGCACCAUGCUUGUAGGAUGCUUAGUACGUGCCUUCAUCAAAUAUUAUAUCCUUUCAAAAAUCUUGGGACAGGAAGCAUCCUCAUGAAUAGGAGAUCAUUUCUCAAGGCUGAGCUGAUAGUAAGAAUAAGACUCCCACUUAAGCCUGCCCUUUUUCCAGAAACAACACUGCCCCCAGACAUUUCUACCCAGGUUAAGAUAUCCAUACAUAUCCCCCUUGAAGCCUGGUGAUGUGUUACUUUAUAUAGCAAAAGAAACUUGCAGAUGUCAUUAAAUCAAAGACUUUGAGAUGGAGAUGUUAACUGGAAUAGCAUGUGGACCUAACACAUCACAGGAUCCUUCUAAAGGAGGAGAGUCAGAGCUUGGCCAUGAAACAUGAGCAUGGAAGGAGUCCAGGAAGAAGGGCUAGCAGCCAAUGAACAGUUCUCAAAAGACAGCAGAAAAG